GAUGGUGUAGCCUGGUGGUCAUGGCGCAGCCAUUGCGUGUCGGAGGUUGCGGGUUUGAGUCCUGCCGACGCUG
Molecule: transfer RNA, 73 nt
Filed under: Hordeum vulgare
Lineage: Eukaryota; Viridiplantae; Streptophyta; Magnoliopsida; Poales; Poaceae
Description: tRNA-OTHER
Source: RNAcentral